Molecule: long non-coding RNA, 2395 nt
Filed under: Mytilus galloprovincialis (Mediterranean mussel)
Lineage: Eukaryota; Metazoa; Mollusca; Bivalvia; Mytilida; Mytilidae
Source: RNAcentral
GGCUGUGUAGGAUUUCAUCAUCAUCCCCUUUAGAAGUUAUCUCCCUUUUAUUGUUUUUUUUCGACAUGGCCCCCCUCGUUGUUUUUAAAGAUAUCAUGACCUUAUUUGGACAAAAGUUAGAUCUCAUCAUGAUGUGUUACCAUAUGAGGCUGCUAAGGAUUUCAUCAUUCCCUAUGAGAGUUAUGUCCCCUUGAAGCAAUUUCUUUCUUUUACAUUUUUCUCAAAAAGUAUUCAAGAUAGAAUCGAUUUGAAAACGGCAACAUGUACAAGACCAGAUGGCAAUGUUAAUUAACAUAUACAAUCAUUUUGUUGUUAACCCUUAUAAGGAGUUAUUUCCCUUGAAAAAAUAUACACAAUUUUUGAAAAAUUGUAUCUCGAGAACCGGAAGUCGUAAAGACUUGGGACCUACACCAAUAAUCUUAAGUUCAUGUGACCUUUAAUUUGCACCCAAGGUCAAAGGUCACCGAGUGCAAAAAAAAAUUACGCGCUGCAAUUUCAAGCUUUCAUAUUAAGAAAACGAUAAGAGUUUGCUGCAUACUUACAGCGUAUAAAAUGUUCCUCUCGACGAGCUCUACAUUUUAUACUCUGACCUCAAAAGAGUCCGACUGUCUGUUCAAAAGUUACGACGGGAUGAUUCUUAAAAGUAUAGUAUUGUGUGUAUAUCUUUUUAAAGGUAACAGAUAUCAACCUACUAUAAACUGCAAAGAUGAUCAGUAGUUCAAGACCUUCAAUUUGAGGUCAAUGUCAGGUCAUGAUGAAAUUUCACCUUGACCUUCACAUUUUACUAUGACCUUGACCUUGUGAUAUUUGAAAGGUCAAGUGGUCCUGAGUUGAAUGGUGAUAGUCCCAUGUCUCUACGACUUCCGGUUCUCAAGUUUUGUAUUGCAUCAUAUAUUUGAUGAUUAAUUGUGACCUUGGUGAACUUUGAAAUUGUCCCAAUUCUUUUUCUAUAAUGUUGUCCUUUAACUGUAGAUCAUUUAUCAUUUAACAGAUUUGAGAUAUCUAUUGUCGUUUUAGAGAUAAUGCAGUUUGAAGUUUUUCGAGCGGAGGCAUGUAUUUCUGAAUCAACAAGAGCUUACCACUUAAAAUGUUUUAGAAAUUGAAGAGGUUGACAUAGUUAUAUGUUUGACCAAAUACCAAAAACAUUCCAUGGAAAAAAACACCAAAAAAUCAAUUUGAAAUUUUCAAGUUUUGCAUUGACUUUGUAAGUUUCAUAACUUCUAUUUAUAUAGUUGAUAUUGCAUCAUUAUUUGCACUUUGUCAAAUGGGGUCAUCUGAUAUAUCAAAUUGAAGGUCUUAAUAAACUCUACUUAAAAAUGAAAAUUUUAAACCCCCUUUUCAUCCCAGGGGGACGGGUGGGGUCAUUUAGUGCAAACAUUCAAAUUUCUCAGAUGGUAAGGUUGUCGCAUAUCAAAUGAAAGAACAUAAAGCGUACAUUUCAAAUUUCAAAUUGACGUCUCCCAAAAAUGGGUUGGAUGGGGUCAUUGAGUGCAAAAAAUAAAUGUUCUUUUAAGGUAGGGUUGUUGUAUAUCAAAUGAAAGGUCAUGAUGUGUACAUUUGAAAUAUCAAAUUCCCGACCUCCAAAAAUUUGUUGGAUAGGGUUAUUAAGUGCAAAAAUCAAACUUUCAAGAACAUGGUGUUGUCGCAUAUCAAACGAAAGCUCAUCUACUCUGUUCCAUAUAUCAUAAUUCCGAUCUCAAAAAUGUAGCGGAUGAGGUCAUUAAGUGUAAAAAGCGAAAAGUUUCAGAAGGUGUGCUUGUCGUAUAUCAAACGAAAGGUCGUACAAAGUACAAUACGAAAACAUCACUUUUACAGGAAAGACCUUUCAAUUGUUUUACAAACAAUUGAGAUACUAGUUUUUUUUUUUUUUUUUUUUUAGGUCUUUCCUCUCCGCGAGGAAAGACCUUAUUGUUUUUUCCUUUUUUUUUUUUUUUUUUUUUUUUUUUUUUUUUUCAUCCAGCAUUUGUUUGACAUGGCCUCCCCUCGUUUCUAUUGGAGUUAUCAAGACCAAAUAUGGACCAUCGGUAGACCUCAUCAUGAAGUAUUACCAGAUGAGGCUGUGUAGGAUUUCAUCAUCCCCUUUAGAAGUUAUCUCCCUUUUAUUGUUUUUUUUCGACAUGGCCCCCCUCGUUGUUUUUAAAGAUAUCAUGACCUUAUUUGGACAAUAGUUAGAUCUCAUCAUGAUGUGUUACCAUAUGAGGCUGCUAAGGAUUUCAUCAUUCCCUAUGAGAGUUAUGUCCCCUUGAAGCAAUUUCUUUCUUUUACAUUUUUCUCAAAAAGUAUUCAAGAUAGAAUCGAUUUGAAAACGGCAACAUGUACAAGACCAGAUGGCAAUGUUAAUAAACAUAUACAAUCAUUUUGUUGUUAACCCUUAUAAGGAGUUAUUUCCCUUGAA